This 465-nucleotide ribosomal RNA is filed under the name uncultured bacterium. RNAcentral describes it as "partial 16S ribosomal RNA". It matches the Rfam family "Bacterial small subunit ribosomal RNA", at positions 28 to 507 of the family's 1533-position model. The record is from RNAcentral.
GACGAACGCUGGCGGCGUGCUUAACACAUGCAAGUCGAACGGAAAGGCCCCUUCGGGGGUACUCGAGUGGCGAACGGGUGAGUAACACGUGAGUAACCUGCCCUUGACUUCGGGAUAACUUCAGGAAACUGGGGCUAAUACCGGAUAGGAAUCCUUGCUGCAUGGUGGGGGUUGGAAAGCUUCGGCGGUUUUGGAUGGACUCGCGGCUUAUCAGCUUGUUGGUGGGGUAGUGGCUUACCAAGGCUUUGACGGGUAGCCGGCCUGAGAGGGCGACCGGCCACAUUGAGACUGAGAGACGGCCCAGACUCCUACGGGAGGCAGCAGUGGGGAAGAUUGCACAAUGGGCGGAAGCCUGAUGCAGCAACGCCGCGUGCGGGAUGACGGCCUUCGGGUUGUAAACCGCGUUCAGCAGGGGCGAAGCUUGUGGUGACGGUACCUGCAGAAGAAGCACCGGCUAACUACGUG